UACAGAGGUCUCAAGCGUUGUUCGGAUUCAUUGGGCGUAAAGGGUGCGUAGGUGGCGCUGUAAGUCGGGUGUGAAAUUUCGGAGCCUAACUCCGAAACUGCAUUCGAUACUGCGGUGCUUGAGGACUGGAGAGGAGACUGGAAUUCAUGGUGUAGCAGUGAAAUGCGUAGAGAUCGGCAGGAACACCCAGGGGGAAACCAGUCGACUGGGCAGCACCUGACGCUGAGGUGCGAGAGCGUGGGGAGCGAACCGG
This 253-nucleotide ribosomal RNA is filed under the name uncultured bacterium. Its description in RNAcentral is "partial 16S ribosomal RNA". It matches the Rfam family "Bacterial small subunit ribosomal RNA", at positions 524 to 776 of the family's 1533-position model. The record is from RNAcentral.